This 228-nucleotide long non-coding RNA is filed under the name Elaeis guineensis (African oil palm). RNAcentral's name for it is "long non-coding RNA (EGUI_LNC010920)". The record is from RNAcentral. Lineage: Eukaryota; Viridiplantae; Streptophyta; Magnoliopsida; Arecales; Arecaceae.
AUGACGGUGAAAGUUUUUGUGCUGGUGCAGCAAUCUGCAGUGAUAAUCAUGGAGCAAUUCAACCUAUUUUUUCAGUAGGUGUAAUAAUUAACAGCUGUCAUUCAGGCAGCGAUACAGCCUCCACUGGCACCACAGCCGGCAAAUUAAACUCAGUGACUGGCAGCGAAUCAUACUCAAGAGCCAAGGAGAUGAUGGUCUUCGAGUCCUUGAGGCAUGAUUCAACCCCCG